UUGAAAGGGAAACGAUUGAAGUCAGUCGUACCAGCGGGAAAUCAACCUUUCGAGUGGGGGUUUUGGAGUUUUGAAGAGUGUCAAAACCUUUGAGAUUUCAAAAUAUUCGCUCUUUUGGUGUACUUUCUCGUGGGUAGGUUAACAUCGAUUUCGAUCGUCAUAAAAGGAUUGGAGGAAUGUAGCUUCGAUCUUGUAUUGAAGUGUUAUAGCCUUUGGUAAAUGUGAUGAUUGGGAUCGAGGAUUGCAACGAAUACCCUUUUGGGCUAUCCGCCUGAUCUCUGAUACGUGGCCUUGGCAUCGAAAGCUUGCUUAUGGUAUAAAGGUAUUACGGUCAAAAGGUUAGAACGGAUUACAUUCGUUAAGGAUGUUGACGUA
RNAcentral lists this ribosomal RNA (375 nucleotides) under uncultured Glomeromycotina. RNAcentral describes it as "LSU rRNA". The record is from RNAcentral. Lineage: Eukaryota; Fungi; Glomeromycota.